RNAcentral lists this ribosomal RNA (497 nucleotides) under uncultured bacterium. RNAcentral describes it as "partial 16S ribosomal RNA". It matches the Rfam family "Bacterial small subunit ribosomal RNA", at positions 28 to 507 of the family's 1533-position model. The record is from RNAcentral.
GAUGAACGCUGGCGGCGUGCCUAAUACAUGCAAGUCGAGCGAACGGACGAGAAGCUUGCUUCUCUGAUGUUAGCGGCGGACGGGUGAGUAACACGUGGAUAACCUACCUAUAAGACUGGGAUAACUUCGGGAAACCGGAUCUAAUACCGGAUAAUAUUUUGAACCGCAUGGUUCAAAAGUGAAAGACGUUCUUGCUGUCACUUAUUGAUGGAUCCUCGCUGCAUUAGCUAGUUGGUAAGGUAACGGCUUACCAAGGCAACGAUGCAUAGCCGACCUGAGAGGGUGAUCGGCCACACUGGAACUGAGACACGGUCCAGACUCCUACGGGAGGCAGCAGUAGGGAAUCUUCCGCAAUGGGCGAAAGCCUGACGGAGCAACGCCGCGUGAGUGAUGAAGGUCUUCGGAUCGUAAAACUCUGUUAGUAGGGAAGAACAUAUGUGUAAGUAACUGUGCACAUCUUGACGGUACCUAAUCAGAAAGCAACGGCUAACUACGUG